UACGUAGGUGGCAAGCGUUACUCGGAAUCACUAGGCGUAAAGCGCGGGUAGGCGGUUCGGUAAGUCUCUUGUGAAAGCUCCUGGCUCAACUGGGAGAGGUCAAGGGAAACUACCGGGCUUGAGUGUGGCAGAGGAAGCUGGAAUUCCCGGUGUAGCGGUGAAAUGCGUAGAGAUCGGGAGGAACACCUAUGGCGAAAGCAGGCUUCUGGGCCAUCACUGACGCUAAUCUGCGAAAGCUAGGGGAG
Molecule: ribosomal RNA, 245 nt
Filed under: uncultured bacterium
Lineage: Bacteria
Description: partial 16S ribosomal RNA
Rfam family: Bacterial small subunit ribosomal RNA
Source: RNAcentral